GCUUAACUGCAGAGUUCUGAUGCGAUCCGGUGCAUUAGUGCUGGUAUGAUCGCACCUUAAGUAUUGCACGAACAAUGUAUAUAUGGUUUCGACAGCGGGUAUAAGUUUCAACACUUGGGAAGACGUGAGCGAGCGACGUGACGUGGAUGGUUUGUGAUACAAGAGGGUCUAAGCCCAAUAAAUAAAGACCAACAACCCAACCCAAGGAGAAGGGUAAAAGAGUCCUUUCGACCAAGGGAGGGGGGUGAGCUUAGUGAUGAAGGGUUUGCAACAUGAAGUCUUCCAAUCCAUCACGUGGCCACAUGUUUAAUUGAUUUUUAUCACAUUGUAAAUAAGCCUUCUAGAAGGCCAGCACCUGCUGCACAUGACUAAAUACGUGGCAACUGAUCCACUCUUCACAGAUCAUGAAUUGUAUGCACAUGGCCAAGGGGGUUCAUCUAUAAAACCCACCAUGGCAGCACUUGUAUGAUACUUUGGAUAUUAUGAGAAAUUUCUCUUCAUUGCUGAAGUUCUUAUCAGCCGAGAAUCUCUGACCAAAGUCACCUUCCAUCAACUCUCUCCCACCUCUUAGCUUUCUUCCAACAAUGGAAGCUGCCUGAAGCUAGGACCACACCAUCUCCUUCUCUGCCGUCAACAUCCACUCUGAUUCCAUCAACUUCCGCUGCCACCUGCUGGAACUUCGUCCUUCUCGGGUCCAGUCUUCAAUCAAGCAAUGGAGAGGCUUAUCAGUUUGGGUCCGAAAAAGCCAUAGUAAGAGUUAGUUGGAGUCGUGUUGGCGGUACUUGUCGCAAAUAACAACGACGAAAAACAACGUAUAAAAUAAAAGAAUGUCAAAAAGAGGUGCAACACGAGGACUUCCCAGGAAGCCACCCAUCCUCGGACUACUCUCGCCCAAGCACACUUAAGUACGGAGUUCUGAUGGGAUUCGGUGCAUUAGUACUGGUAUGAUCGCACGUAUUAAAUAUUGCACAACCAAUGUAUAUAUGGUUUCGGCAGCAGGUAUAAGUUUCAACACUUGGGAAGACGCGAGCGAGCGACGAGACGUGGAUGGUUUGUGUCCGGAAAAGCCAUAGUAAGAGUUAGUUGGAGUCGUGUAGGCGAUACUUGUUGCAAAUAACAACGACGAAAAACAACGUAAAAAAUAGAACAAUGUGAAAGAAUGUGCAACACGAGGACUUCCCAAGAGGUCACUCAUCCUAGUACUAGUCUGGCCCAAGCACACUUCACUACGGAGUUCUGAUGGGAUCUGGUGCAUCAGUGCUGGUAUGAUCGCACCUAUCAAGUAUUGCACGAUAAAUGUAUAUAUGGUCUCGGCAGCGGGUAUAAAUUUCAACACAUGCGAAGAUGCGAGCAAGCCACGUGACGUGGAUUGUUUGGGUCCGAAAAAGCCAUAGUAAGAGUUAGUCGGAGUCGUGUACGCGGUACUUAUAACAAAUAACAAGGACAAAAAGCAGCAUAAAAAAGAAGUGAAUGUGAAAAAUAGAUGCAAAACGAGGACUUCCCAGGAGGUCACCCAUCCUAGUACUACUCUCACCCACGCACGCUUAACUGCGGAGCUCUGAUGGGAUCUAGUGCAUGAGUGUUGGUAUGUUCGCACCUAUCAAGUAUUGCACGAUAUAUGUAUACAUGGUUUCGACAGCGGGUAUAAGUUUCAAUACUUGGGAAGACGUGAGCGAGCGACGUGCGUGGAUGGUUUGGGUCCGAAAAAGCCAUAGUAAGAGUUAGUUGGAGUCGUGUUGGCGGUACUUGUNGCAAAUAACGAGGACGAAAAACAACGUAUAAA
Molecule: long non-coding RNA, 1783 nt
Filed under: Vigna radiata
Lineage: Eukaryota; Viridiplantae; Streptophyta; Magnoliopsida; Fabales; Fabaceae
Description: long non-coding RNA (VRAD_LNC004745)
Source: RNAcentral